AGCACGCCGCGGUGAAUACGUUCCCGGGCCUUGUACACACCGCCCGUCACACCAUGAGAGUUUGUAACACCCGAAGCCGGUGGCGUAACCCUUUUAGGGAGCGAGCCGUCUAAGGUGGGACAAAUGAUUAGGGUGAAGUCGUAACAAGGUAGCCGUAGGAGAACCUGCGGCUGGAUCACCUCCUUUCUAAGGAA
RNAcentral lists this ribosomal RNA (194 nucleotides) under Lacticaseibacillus paracasei. RNAcentral's name for it is "Lactobacillus paracasei partial 16S ribosomal RNA". It matches the Rfam family "Bacterial small subunit ribosomal RNA", at positions 1351 to 1533 of the family's 1533-position model. Lineage: Bacteria; Bacillati; Bacillota; Bacilli; Lactobacillales; Lactobacillaceae. The record is from RNAcentral.